AUGGGGCUGAGGGUCACUCAGUACUGCAUCUUUGUUAUAAUGUUAAUACAUGGUGUGAGCAGUGAUGAGAUCAGAGUGGACCAGUCUUCUGCUGUGGUAAAGAGACCUGGAGGACAUGUGAAGAUCUCUUGUAAGAUAAAUGGCUUUGAUAUGACUGAGUAUCUCAUGCACUGGAUACGACAGAAACCAGGGAAAGCUCUAGAAUGGAUUGGAUAUGUGAACUCGGGUACAACUGAUGAACUCACAUAUGCAAACUCCAUGAAAGGCCAAUGUCUCUUCUCUGAAGACAUCCCUACAAGCACACAGUUCUUAGAAGCCAAGACUCUGAGGACAGAGGACACUGCAGUUUAUUACUGCACCCAAAGGCACAGUGACUGGAGCGGGGGAAGCAGCUAUGCUAAAAUCACACACAUAUUUUAA
Ictalurus furcatus (blue catfish) is the source of this 420-nucleotide non-coding RNA. The record is from the annotation of a RefSeq genome assembly. NCBI's taxonomy places the organism in Eukaryota, Metazoa, Chordata, Actinopteri, Siluriformes, Ictaluridae.